GAUGAACGCUGGCGGCGUGCCUAAUACAUGCAAGUCGAGCGAACAGACGAGGAGCUUGCUCCUCUGACGUUAGCGGCGGACGGGUGAGUAACACGUGGAUAACCUACCUAUAAGACUGGGAUAACUUCGGGAAACCGGAGCUAAUACCGGAUAAUAUAUUGAACCGCAUGGUUCAAUAGUGAAAGACGGUUUUGCUGUCACUUAUAGAUGGAUCCGCGCCGCAUUAGCUAGUUGGUAAGGUAACGGCUUACCAAGGCAACGAUGCGUAGCCGACCUCAGAGGGUGAUCGGCCACACUGGAACUGAGACGCGGUCCAGACUCCUACGGGAGGCAGCAGUAGGGAAUCUUCCGCAAUGGGCGAAAGCCUGACGAAGCAACGCCGCGUGAGUGAUGAAGGUCUUCGGAUCGUAAAACUCUGUUAUUAGGGAAGAAAAAAUGUGUAAGUAACUAUGCACGUCUUGACGGUACCUAAUCAGAAAGCCACAGCUAACUACGUG
RNAcentral lists this ribosomal RNA (497 nucleotides) under uncultured bacterium. RNAcentral describes it as "partial 16S ribosomal RNA". It matches the Rfam family "Bacterial small subunit ribosomal RNA", at positions 28 to 507 of the family's 1533-position model. The record is from RNAcentral.